Molecule: ribosomal RNA, 453 nt
Filed under: uncultured bacterium
Lineage: Bacteria
Description: bacterial SSU rRNA
Rfam family: Bacterial small subunit ribosomal RNA
Source: RNAcentral
GUUCCAGACUCCUAGGGAGGCAGCAGUGGGGAAUAUUGCACAAUGGGCGCGAGCCUGAUGCAGCAACGCCGCGUGAGCGAAGAAGGUCUUCGGAUCGUAAAGCUCUGUCCUUGAGGAAGAAGGAAGUGACGGUACUCAAGGAGGAAGCCCCGGCUAACUACGUGCCAGCAGCCGCGGUAAUACGUAGGAUCCGAGCAUUAUCCGGAGUGACUGGGUGUAAAGAGUUGCGUAGGUGGCAUAAUAAGUAGCUAGUGAAAUCUGGUGGCUCAACCAUUCAGACUAUUAGCUAAACUGUUAAGCUCGAGACCGUUAGGGGUAACUGGAAUUUCUAGUGUAGGAGUGAAAUCCGUAGAUAUUAGAAGGAACACCAAUAGCGUAGGCAGGUUACUGGGACGGUUCUGACACUAAGGCACGAAAGCGUAGGGAGCAAACGGGAUUAGAUACCCGGGUAUA